UACAGAGGUGGCGAGCGUUGUUCGGAUUUACUGGGCGUAAAACGUGCGUAGGCGGCUUCGUAUGUCGGGUGUGAAAUCUCACUGCUCAACGGUGAAACUGCACUCGAAACUGCGAUGGCUUGAGUUCGGGAGGGGAGAGCGGAAUUCUUGGUGUAGCGGUGAAAUGCGUUGAUAUCAAGAAGAACACCGGUGGCGAAGGCGGCUCUCUGGAACGAAACUGACGCUGAGGCACGAAAGCGUGGGGAGCAAACAGGAUUAGAUACCCUGGUAGUCCACGCUGUAAACGGUGCACACUUGGUAUGGGCGGAGUUGAUCCUGUCCGUGCCGGAGCUAACGCAUUAAGUGUGCUGCCUGGGGAGUACGGCCGCAAGGUUGAAACUCAAAGAAAUUGACGGGGACCCGCACAAGCGGAGGAGCAUGUGGCUCAAUUCGAUGCAACGCGAAGAACCUUACCAGGGCUUGACAUGCAGCUGCACGACCGCCGAAAGGCGGUUUCCUUCGAGGGUGCUGCACAGGUGCUGCAUGGCUGUCGUCAGUUCGUGCCGUGAGGUGUUGGGUUAAGUCCCGCAACGAACGCAACCCCUAUGCUCAGUUGCUACCGUCGGUGAUGAAUCGCCGGGCGCUCUGAGCAGACUGCCCGUACAAGCGGGAGGAAGGUGGGGACGACGUCAAGUCAGUAUGGCCCUUACGCCCUGGGCUGCACACGUGCUACAAUGGCAGGUACAAUGGGACGCGAAACCGCGAGGUGGAGCAAAUCCCCAAAACCUGCCCCAGUUCGGAUUGGAGUCUGCAACUCGACUCCAUGAAGUCGGAUUCGCUAGUAACGGCGCAUCAGCUACGGCGCCGUGAAUGCGUUCCCGGGCCU
RNAcentral lists this ribosomal RNA (865 nucleotides) under uncultured bacterium. RNAcentral's name for it is "SSU rRNA". It matches the Rfam family "Bacterial small subunit ribosomal RNA", at positions 524 to 1381 of the family's 1533-position model. The record is from RNAcentral.